GUGCUCACCUUGGCAGCACAUAUAAUGAAUUGGAAUGAGACAGAGAAAAUUAGCAUGGACCCUGUGCAAGGAUGACACGCAAAUUCGUGAAGCAUUCCUUAUUUUU
This 106-nucleotide small nuclear RNA is filed under the name Dasypus novemcinctus (nine-banded armadillo). The record is from RNAcentral. Lineage: Eukaryota; Metazoa; Chordata; Mammalia; Cingulata; Dasypodidae.